CUGAGUUUUUUUUUUUCCCCUCUCUUAUUUCUUUACAGUUGUGUAUCCUCUGUUGUCAUCGUGGAAACUGAGACUGCAUUCACAGCACAUUUGUUUCAAGGCAUGCAGUUGAGACACUUGGAUACUGAUGUUCAGAACCCUUUCCUCCUUGCUUACCUAAAUUUGGUUGAAGAGCCCUUGAGAUAAGUAUAGGAACACUGCAGCCACAGGGAGAAGUGUUCACUUGCUUGUUGAUUCACUGCUGGUUGUGUUCCCUGGCUGCAAUCAAAGCACAGUUUCUCCUUCAGAAUUUUAGAAUCGAGGAGAAGAGUGAAAAUGACUAUGUGGGAAGGAGAUGGGAGAUUAAUACCCAGAAAACUUCAUUCUUGCCUCACACUAGUUUUGCUUCAUUGUACAUUAUGAGGUGAGUUUGGCUAGCUGUACAGUGAGAUGAGC
RNAcentral lists this long non-coding RNA (435 nucleotides) under Phasianus colchicus (ring-necked pheasant). Its description in RNAcentral is "lncRNA (ENSPCLG00000005784.1)". Lineage: Eukaryota; Metazoa; Chordata; Aves; Galliformes; Phasianidae. The record is from RNAcentral.